GGAAAAGAAACCAACAGGGAUUGCCCUAGUAACGGCGAGUGAAGCGGCAACAGCUCAAAUUUGAAAUCUGGCUCCUUCGGGGUCCGAGUUGUAAUUUGUAGAGGGUGCUUUGGCGUUGGUUGUGGUCUAAGUUCCUUGGAACAGGACGUCACAGAGGGUGAGAAUCCCGUACGUGGCCGCCAGCCUUCGCCGUGUAAAGCCCCUUCGAUGAGUCGAGUUGUUUGGGAAUGCAGCUCUAAAUGGGAGGUAAAUUUCUUCUAAAGCUAAAUAUUUGCCAGAGACCGAUAGCGCACAAGUAGAGUGAUCGAAAGAUGAAAAGCACUUUGGAAAGAGAGUCAAAAAGCACGUGAAAUUGUUGAAAGGGAAGCGCUUGCAGCUAGACGUGCCUUGGGUUGAUCAGCCGGACUUUUGCCCGGCGCACUCUUCCCUUGGCAGGCCAGCAUCAGUUUGGGCGGCUGGAUAAAGGUCUGUUAAACGUGACUUCCUUCGGGGAGAGCUUAUAGGGCAGACGACAUGCAGCCAGCCUGAACUGAGGUCCGCGCAUCUGCUAGGAUGCUGGCAUAAUAGCUGUAAGCGGCCCGUCUUGAAACACGGACCAAGGAGUCUAACAUCUAUGCGAGUGUUUGGGUGUCAAGCCCGAGCGCGUAAUGAAAGUAAACGGAGGUGGGAACCUUUUAGGUGCACCAUCGACCGAUCCUGAUGUCUUCGGAUGGAUUUGAGUAAGAGCAUAGCUGUUGGGACCCGAAAGAUGGUGAAMUAUGCCUGAAUAGGGUGAAGCCAGAGG
Molecule: ribosomal RNA, 784 nt
Filed under: Lophiostoma pseudodictyosporium
Lineage: Eukaryota; Fungi; Ascomycota; Dothideomycetes; Pleosporales; Lophiostomataceae
Description: eukaryotic LSU rRNA
Rfam family: Eukaryotic large subunit ribosomal RNA
Source: RNAcentral